GACGAACGCUGGCGGCGUGCCUAAUACAUGCAAGUAGAACGCUGAAGGAGGAGCUUGCUUCUCUGGAUGAGUUGCGAACGGGUGAGUAACGCGUAGGUAACCUGCCUGGUAGCGGGGGAUAACUAUUGGAAACGAUAGCUAAUACCGCAUAAUAGUAGAUGUUGCAUGACAUUUGCUUAAAAGGUGCAAUUGCCUCACUACCAGAUGGACCUGCGUUGUAUUAGCUAGUUGGUGAGGUAACGGCUCACCAAGGCGACGAUACAUAGCCGACCUGAGAGGGUGAUCGGCCACACUGGGACUGAGACACGGCCCAGACUCCUACGGGAGGCAGCAGUAGGGAAUCUUCGGCAAUGGACGGAAGUCUGACCGAGCAACGCCGCGUGAGUGAAGAAGGUUGUCGGAUCGUAAAGCUCUGUUGUAAGAGAAGAACGAGUGUGAGAGUGGAAAGUUCACACUGUGACGGUAUCUCACCAGAAAGGGACGGCUAACUACGUG
Molecule: ribosomal RNA, 495 nt
Filed under: uncultured bacterium
Lineage: Bacteria
Description: partial 16S ribosomal RNA
Rfam family: Bacterial small subunit ribosomal RNA
Source: RNAcentral